RNAcentral lists this ribosomal RNA (216 nucleotides) under Glomeromycotina sp. Its description in RNAcentral is "partial small subunit ribosomal RNA". The stretch from base 40 to 216 matches the Rfam family "Eukaryotic small subunit ribosomal RNA", at positions 686 to 864 of the family's 1831-position model. Lineage: Eukaryota; Fungi; Glomeromycota. The record is from RNAcentral.
GGGUCAGUAGGUUGGUCUUGCCACCGGUACGUACUGGUCUCACUGAUUCCUCCUUCCUGAAGAACCGUAAUGCCAUUAAUUUGGUGUUGCGGGGAGACAGGACUGUUACUUUGAAAAAAUUAGAGUGUUUAAAGCAAGCUAACGCUUGAAUACAUUAGCAUGGAAUAAUGAAAUAGGACGAUCGAUCCUAUUUUGUUGGUUUCUAGGAUUGACGUA